This 865-nucleotide ribosomal RNA is filed under the name Salmonella enterica subsp. enterica serovar Montevideo. RNAcentral describes it as "partial 23S ribosomal RNA". It matches the Rfam family "Bacterial large subunit ribosomal RNA", at positions 634 to 1503 of the family's 2925-position model. Lineage: Bacteria; Pseudomonadati; Pseudomonadota; Gammaproteobacteria; Enterobacterales; Enterobacteriaceae. The record is from RNAcentral.
UCUGUAGCAAGGUUAACCGUAUAGGGGAGCCGGAGGGAAACCGAGUCUUAACCGGGCGUUAAGUUGCAGGGUAUAGACCCGAAACCCGGUGAUCUAGCCAUGGGCAGGUUGAAGGUUGGGUAACACUAACUGGAGGACCGAACCGACUAAUGUUGAAAAAUUAGCGGAUGACCUGUGGCUGGGGGUGAAAGGCCAAUCAAACCGGGAGAUAGCUGGUUCUCCCCGAAAGCUAUUUAGGUAGCGCCUCGUGAAUUCAUCUCCGGGGGUAGAGCACUGUUUCGGCUAGGGGGCCAUCCCGGCUUACCAACCCGAUGCAAACUGCGAAUACCGGAGAAUGUUAUCACGGGAGACACACGGCGGGUGCUAACGUCCGUCGUGAAGAGGGAAACAACCCAGACCGCCAGCUAAGGUCCCAAAGUCAUGGUUAAGUGGGAAACGAUGUGGGAAGGCCCAGACAGCCAGGAUGUUGGCUUAGAAGCAGCCAUCAUUUAAAGAAAGCGUAAUAGCUCACUGGUCGAGUCGGCCUGCGCGGAAGAUGUAACGGGGCUAAACCAUGCACCGAAGCUGCGGCAGCGACGCUGAUGCGUUGUUGGGUAGGGGAGCGUUCUGUAAGCCUGCGAAGGUGGCCUGUGAGGGUUGCUGGAGGUAUCAGAAGUGCGAAUGCUGACAUAAGUAACGAUAAAGCGGGUGAAAAGCCCGCUCGCCGGAAGACCAAGGGUUCCUGUCCAACGUUAAUCGGGGCAGGGUGAGUCGACCCCUAAGGCGAGGCCGAAAGGCGUAGUCGAUGGGAAACGGGUUAAUAUUCCCGUACUUGGUGUUACUGCGAAGGGGGGACGGAGAAGGCUAUGUUGGCCGGGCGACGGUU